UUGGUAUCUGUAGGUAAUCGCAAAGUAUGACACUAUUUUGCACAAACAAAUCCACAAACAAACUCUUCACAACAUGUCAUAGAUAGACUAGCAAUUUUUUUACACGGUGACUGGAUAACUUUAAUAUUCUUCUGCAGUACUGACAACACAAACAUUGUGUGAGAACUGAAAAAAGACCCUGUUUCAUAGAUACAAAAGAAGACAUUCCCACGGGUGUAAAGACCACUCCAAGGCACAGCUUCAGGCACCAAUCCUUCAAGAACUGACUGGAAUUCGAAACUGCUGAGCUGAAAUUCAUAUAGAAAUUUGACACCAUUAGAAGAGGUCUAAAUAGACACAUGGAAUGACUCUCAUUACAAGAAGUCCCUUACAGGUACUCUUACCUCAUCACUGCUGGAGGUGAGUCACGUCCACUCACCAAUAUACUACACCCAUCUCUGUAUCCCUUCCUUUCUUUCUCUUCAAGCAUCUGAAGAAAAAGGUUGGAUCACACAAAAACUUAUGACCUAAUAAAUGUGUUAGCCUUUAAGGUGUCACCGGACUCAGUGUUGUUUUAGUCCUCUACAGUGAAGUUUAUUAAAUGUCCCUAGUACCUUCGCUGUGUCCCUCUACUGCUGAGAAAAAUCAAAUAAUAAUAAUGUGCCUUUCUUUAAUGUAGUUUGCACAUUUGCCUUACAUUUGCCUUCCUCCCACAAGAAAAGAGUUCCCAUUUGUGCUCAGUAUGAGCUAUGAUGUCAAUACUAAAGUCAAUGAAAUUUUAGCAGCUCCAGUCUGUUAUAAAACUGUACAUUUCUCUGCAGCUCAGUGAAGUUUUAAUGUUUUCAAGAAACUGGAUUUUCAUAACAAUCCUAUUGGAUAUAUUCACCUACAGUCAGCAGCCCAGGCAAACACUUGCUUUGUAGCACUCCAAUCAGCAUCACAGCCCUCAAUUUUUCUUUUGACUAUGUCAAUACAACAAGUCUCCUGUAACUUCAGGCUAAUCAUCGGUGCUUGUACCAUAUGUCAGAUGUCGUGUGAAGAAAUAAGAACAUUUGUUACCAAUUCAAAGGAGCCUUGUGGCAGUGCCUCAUACCUUUACAUGUUCACCUGGUGCUUAACUCAUUAACACAAUGUUGAAUCAACUCCAUCUGCCAAGUCUGACAAAGUGGCAACUUCUUGAAAAUCAAGAGUGACUGAAAUUAUUGAUGAGCCUCCAAAAAUGAUUUGCUUUUCAGCCCUGAACUUCCUAAAAAUGAAAUUCCAGAAACUCACAUUUGCAGAACAAAUGGUGUCUUUGUGGGUUGCCAUCCUCGUGAGCCAUGCUUCCAAGAGUUAAAGUCACUGUUGUGCAGAGUACCAGCACAAGUACUAAGGUUGUGCACAUUAACCUUCAGAUCUCAUUUCCCUCCAUUUCCGCAUCUUUGCUACCAGGAUUAAUUUUAGUUGGACAAUGAUUAACAUACCAUGAUGAACACUGCAGAAACAGCUCAAAUUUGGGUAGGUAAUUAGAACCUCUCAAUCUUAGCACCUAGUUACCAGCUUCCUAGGCCUUCCCAGAAGAAAACUUGCUGUUUUCACCUGUUUUUAGAUUUCUUGAUAAUUUUAGCUGAUUGGAGAAAAAGCAGUUCCAUAAAUGAUGACACACCUACUUGCCAUUCUUAUAGUCACCCAGUUAAUAAAAGUUACUUAGCUAUCCAAAACAGGGUUUCUACAUACCAGGGCCUCUAUUGGGAUGUGUCUAGACUACAGUUUUUUUUUUUUUUUAAAGUGGCCUUUUUUCAAAAAAAC
Molecule: non-coding RNA, 1767 nt
Organism: Pelodiscus sinensis (Chinese soft-shelled turtle)
Lineage: Eukaryota; Metazoa; Chordata; Testudines; Trionychidae
Source: RefSeq, a predicted model, not a curated record